Molecule: ribosomal RNA, 780 nt
Filed under: Priestia megaterium
Lineage: Bacteria; Bacillati; Bacillota; Bacilli; Caryophanales; Bacillaceae
Description: bacterial SSU rRNA
Rfam family: Bacterial small subunit ribosomal RNA
Source: RNAcentral
UGCAGUCGAGCGAACUGAUUAGAAGCUUGCUUCUAUGACGUUAGCGGCGGACGGGUGAGUAACACGUGGGCAACCUGCCUGUAAGACUGGGAUAACUUCGGGAAACCGAAGCUAAUACCGGAUAGGAUCUUCUCCUUCAUGGGAGAUGAUUGAAAGAUGGUUUCGGCUAUCACUUACAGAUGGGCCCGCGGUGCAUUAGCUAGUUGGUGAGGUAACGGCUCACCAAGGCAACGAUGCAUAGCCGACCUGAGAGGGUGAUCGGCCACACUGGGACUGAGACACGGCCCAGACUCCUACGGGAGGCAGCAGUAGGGAAUCUUCCGCAAUGGACGAAAGUCUGACGGAGCAACGCCGCGUGAGUGAUGAAGGCUUUCGGGUCGUAAAACUCUGUUGUUAGGGAAGAACAAGUACAAGAGUAACUGCUUGUACCUUGACGGUACCUAACCAGAAAGCCACGGCUAACUACGUGCCAGCAGCCGCGGUAAUACGUAGGUGGCAAGCGUUAUCCGGAAUUAUUGGGCGUAAAGCGCGCGCAGGCGGUUUCUUAAGUCUGAUGUGAAAGCCCACGGCUCAACCGUGGAGGGUCAUUGGAAACUGGGGAACUUGAGUGCAGAAGAGAAAAGCGGAAUUCCACGUGUAGCGGUGAAAUGCGUAGAGAUGUGGAGGAACACCAGUGGCGAAGGCGGCUUUUUGGUCUGUAACUGACGCUGAGGCGCGAAAGCGUGGGGAGCAAACAGGAUUAGAUACUCUGGUAGUCCACGCCGUAAACGAUGAGUGCUA